RNA transcript from Nanorana parkeri, 1077 nucleotides. It is a transcript of the gene named family with sequence similarity 19 member A1, C-C motif chemokine like, with no coding region annotated. The record is from RefSeq and is a predicted model, not a curated record. Lineage: Eukaryota; Metazoa; Chordata; Amphibia; Anura; Dicroglossidae. The transcript has 7 exons.
UUGCAACUGCGCAGAGGAGCAGCAACUCCUAAUGCUUGAUGCACAACAAGGCGACACUGGAAUAUGAUUUAAAGGUGGAGGGGGUGGAAGUAUGAGCAAGGCUUCCACCCUCCAAAUCUUGGCCACUUUUUUUUUUCCUAACAACACAGUCUAAGCUGUGAUGUCUUUCCCCCUCUUCUGCAAAUAGUGGAGUGAUACAAAACAGCCAGAGCACCUUCUAAUCCCUAGGAAGAAGAUUACUAUUGGGGAAGCUGGAUGAACAAGGUUUAUGUUUUUUUUUUUUUUGGUGCAAAUGGAUUUUUAAAAAGUCUUAGAUCUUUCCAAUGAUCCCCCCUGGAACUCAUUGCCACUGGCUGGAUUAUACAGAGAAUGGCGAUGCUCUGGGCAAUGUCUUGGGUCGUCUACUUGUGGAUAAGUGCCUGGAUGUUUUUACUGUGUCAGGGAUCCCUCCAUCAGCAGAGCUUUCAGCACCAUCAUCUGCACCAAGCAGGAUUUGUUUCAGAGCACUUUCCAAACCACAGAAAACUGGGAGAAAUCGAAGGAGGAACCUGCGAAGUCAUAGCAGCACACAGAUGCUGUAAUAAGAAUAGAAUCGAAGAAAGGUCUCAGACCGUGAAAUGCUCUUGUUUGCCAGGAAAAGUGGCUGGUACAACCAGAAACAGACCCUCCUGUGUUGAUGCUUCAAUAGUCAUUGGGAAGUGGUGGUGUGAAAUGGAGCCGUGUUUAGAAGGGGAAGAAUGUAAGACCCUCCCUGAUAACUCAGGAUGGAUGUGCGCAACUGGCAAUAAGAUAAAGACCACAAGAUUUCAGGGUCACUCAUGACCACCUUCAUGCAAGGCACGAUGGCAUCUGAGAGGCCCUGAAACCUAGUAGAUUCAUCCGAGAUCCUAAUCUUUUUUGGCGGACAUCAUAUGGGCCUCAAGAGGCCAUAUUAAAAUUUUAUUUAAAAACAAAAACGCAUAUUAAGGAUUUACAAGCCAAAUGGAUAUUUUACUUGCACUUUUGACUUUAUACGGACAAACACGCGGUUUCACUAUGUGAAAUAGGUUUCACCAUGGGGAGCAAAAAAAAAAUCAA